UCGAACGAGGUGCUUUUUGUAGCAAUACGAGGAGUAUCCUAGUGGCGAACGGGUGAGUAACGCGUGGGUGACCUACCCCAAAGUGUGGAAUAACAGUCCGAAAGGAUUGCUAAUACCGCAUGUGGUCAUUGGGUUUAGAAACCGAUGACUAAAGGAGCAAUCCGCUUUGGGAGGGACCUGCGUCCCAUCAGCUAGUUGGCGAGGUAACGGCUCACCAAGGCGACGACGGGUAGGGGACCUGAGAGGGUGGCCCCCCACAAUGGAACUGAAACACGGUCCAUACACCUACGGGUGGCAGCAGUAGGGAAUAUUGCACAAUGGGCGAAAGCCUGAUGCAGCAACGCCGCGUGCGCGAUGAAGGUCUUCGGAUCGUAAAGCGCUUUUCUGGGAGAUGAGAAAGGACAGUAUCCCAGGAAUAAGUCUCGGCUAACUACGUGCCAGCAGCCGCGGUAAAACGUAGGAGGCGAGCGUUAUCCGGAUUCACUGGGCGUAAAGCGCGUGCAGGUGGUUUGGUAAGUUGGGCGUGAAAUCUCCCGGCUCAACUGGGAGAGGUCGUUCAAUACUACCGAGCUAGAGAGCAGAAGAGGAAGAUGGAAUUCCCGGUGUAGUGGUGAAAUGCGUAGAUAUCGGGAGGAACACCAGUGGCGAAGGCGAUCUUCUGGUCUGUUUCUGACACUCAGACGCGACAGCUAGGGUAGUAAACGGGAUUAGAGACCCCGGUAAUCCUAGCCGUAAACGAUGUGAACUUGGCGUUGGUGGGUUAAACUCCAUCAGUGCCGAAGCAAACGCGAUAAGUUCACCGCCUGGGGACUACGGCCGCAAGGUUAAAA
This 830-nucleotide ribosomal RNA is filed under the name uncultured bacterium. RNAcentral describes it as "bacterial SSU rRNA". It matches the Rfam family "Bacterial small subunit ribosomal RNA", at positions 62 to 899 of the family's 1533-position model. The record is from RNAcentral.